Molecule: ribosomal RNA, 575 nt
Filed under: Paramyrothecium roridum
Lineage: Eukaryota; Fungi; Ascomycota; Sordariomycetes; Hypocreales; Stachybotryaceae
Description: eukaryotic LSU rRNA
Rfam family: 5.8S ribosomal RNA (bases 171-324)
Source: RNAcentral
GGGGGAAUUACCGAGAUUAAACUCCCAACCCUUUGUGACCUUACCUAUCGUUGCUUCGGCGGGAUCGCCCCGGCGCCUUCGGGCCCGGAACCAGGCGCCCGCCGGAGGCCCCAAACUCUUAUGUCUUUAGUGGUUUUCUCCUCUGAGUGACACAUAAACAAAUAAAUAAAAACUUUCAACAACGGAUCUCUUGGUUCUGGCAUCGAUGAAGAACGCAGCGAAAUGCGAUAAGUAAUGUGAAUUGCAGAAUUCAGUGAAUCAUCGAAUCUUUGAACGCACAUUGCGCCCGCCAGUAUUCUGGCGGGCAUGCCUGUUCGAGCGUCAUUUCAACCCUCAGGCCCCCAGUGCCUGGCGUUGGGGAUCGGCGUGGGCGGCGACGGCUCUCCGGAGCCCGAGCCAAUGCCUGCCGGCCCCGAAAUUCAGUGGCGGUCUCGCUGUAGUCCCCCUCUGCGUAGUAGCACAACUCGCAUUGGAGCUCGGCGGUGGCCAUGCCGUAAAACACCCCACUUCUGAAAGUUGACCUCGGAUCAGGUAGGAAUACCCGCUGAACUUAAGCAUAUCAUAAGCCGGGAGGG